GAUGAACGCUGGCGGCGUGCCUAAUACAUGCAAGUCGAGCGAACAGACGAGGAGCUUGCUCCUCUGACGUUAGCGGCGGACGGGUGAUUAACACGUGGAUAACCUACCUAUAAGACUGGGAUAACUUCGGGAAACCGGAGCUAAUACCGGAUAAUAUAUUGAGCCGCAUGGUUCAAUAGUGAAAGACGGUUUUGCUGUCACUUAUAGAUGGAUCCGCGCCGCAUUAGCUAGUUGGUAAGGUAACGGCUUACCAAGGCAACGAUGCGUAGCCGACCUGAGAGGGUGAUCGGCCACACUGGAACUGAGACACGGUCUAGACUCCUACGGGAGGCAGCAGUAGGGAAUCUUCCGCAAUGGGCGAAAGCCUGACGGAGCAACGCCGCGUGAGUGAUGAAGGUCUUCGGAUCGUAAAACUCUGUUAUUAGGGAAGAACAAAUGUGUAAGUAACUAUGCACGUCUUGACGGUACCUAAUCAGAAAGCCACGGCUAACUACGUG
This 497-nucleotide ribosomal RNA is filed under the name uncultured bacterium. RNAcentral describes it as "partial 16S ribosomal RNA". It matches the Rfam family "Bacterial small subunit ribosomal RNA", at positions 28 to 507 of the family's 1533-position model. The record is from RNAcentral.